CCUACGUGGGGCAGCAGUGGGGAAUAUUGCACAAUGGGCGAAAGCCUGAUGCAGCAACGCCGCGUGAGCGAUGAAGGCCUUCGGGUCGUACAGCUCUGUCCUCAAGGAAGAUAAUGACGGGACUUGCGGAGGAAGCACCGGCUAACUACGUGCCAGCAGCCGCGGUAAUCGGUAGGGGGCUAGCGUUAUACGGAAUUACUGGGCGGAAAGGGUGCGUAGGUGGGUUCUUAAGUCAGAGGUGACAGGCUACGGAUAAACCGUAGUAAGCCUUUGAAACUGGGAAACUUGAGUGCAGGAGAGGAGAGUGGAAUUCCUAGUGUAGCGGUGAAAUGCGUAGAUAUUAGGAGGAACACCAGUUGCGAAGGCGGCUCUCUGGACUGUAACUGACACUGAGGCACGAAAGCGUGGGGAGCAAACAGGAUUAGAUACCCCAGUAGUC
RNAcentral lists this ribosomal RNA (439 nucleotides) under uncultured bacterium. RNAcentral's name for it is "partial 16S ribosomal RNA". It matches the Rfam family "Bacterial small subunit ribosomal RNA", at positions 338 to 795 of the family's 1533-position model. The record is from RNAcentral.